This 455-nucleotide ribosomal RNA is filed under the name uncultured bacterium. Its description in RNAcentral is "bacterial SSU rRNA". It matches the Rfam family "Bacterial small subunit ribosomal RNA", at positions 340 to 786 of the family's 1533-position model. The record is from RNAcentral.
UACGGAAGGCAGCAGUGGGGAAUAUUGCACAAUGGGCGAAAGCCUGAUGCAGCUAUGCCGCGUGUAUGAAGAAGGCCUUAGGGUUGUAAAGUACUUUCAUCGGGGAGGAAAAACAAAACUAAUAAUUUUAUUUCUUGACGUUACCCGAAAAAGAAGCACCGGCUAACUCCGUGCCAGCAGCCGCGGUAAUACGGAGGGUGCUAGCGUUAAUCAGAAUUACUGGGCGUAAAGAGCACGUAGGUGGUUUUUUUAAGUCAGAUGUGAAAUCCCUGGGCUUAACCUGGAACUGCAUUUUGAAACUGAAAUACUAGAGUAUCGUAGAGGGAGGUAGAAUUCUAGGUGUAGCGGUGAAAUGCGUAGAUAUCUGGAGGAAUACCUGUGGCGAAAGCGGCCUCCUAAACGAAUACUGACACUGAGGGUGCGAAAGCGUGGGGAGCAAACGAGGAUUAGAUACC